AGAAUCAUAUCCAAAGGGGCAUUUAGGUGACACAGUUGCAGAUUCUCCAGACUCUUGUUUAGCCUUGUUCUCCUGGCCAUAUCCAAAGGGGCAUUGAGGUGACACAACUGCAGAUUCUCCAGACGCUUCUUUAGGCUUGCUCUCCUGGCCAUAUCCAAAGGGGCAUUUAGGUGACACAAUUGCAGAUUCCCUAGACUCUUGCUUAGGCUUGCUCUCCUGACUAGCCGGCUGUUUAUUUUGGUUUUCACCAGGCUUCUUAGUAGAAGUG
This 268-nucleotide long non-coding RNA is filed under the name Nicotiana tabacum (common tobacco). Its description in RNAcentral is "long non-coding RNA (NTAB_LNC010488)". The record is from RNAcentral. Lineage: Eukaryota; Viridiplantae; Streptophyta; Magnoliopsida; Solanales; Solanaceae.